CGGCAGUCAUCCAGUCUGAGGAAUGGGAAUAUGGCGACUGGUUGUAUUCUCUCCCGCUCGAAGAUUUUCUUAGUGACUGACAUAAAUCGUGUUGUAAGCCUGACAUGUUUGACUGCAUUGAACCUGAAUGGGGUCGUUCAUGAGUGACGUAUGGAGGGAGGACGUCUUUGGAACCCCCCGGCGCGUUAUUUAAGGGGUGAGGAAGGAGAAUAAAGGAGAUUUAUUUUAAAGGAUGAAGAAUGGAAAAUGGAAGUUGUUUUUCGAGGCGGAUAAGAAUUACGGUCACCGUACUUUGAAUGUAAUUCGGUCCUCUUUUGUAUUUAACCAAGUGCGGACUGUCUGUGCCAUAACGAUUCCAUAUUUUAUGUCUGUGACAAUUAUAAAUCCUUAAUGAUAUGUGAUAUUUUUUAAACAAAUAAAUAUAUAUUUCAUUUGCA
This 437-nucleotide unclassified non-coding RNA is filed under the name Cimex lectularius (bed bug). RNAcentral describes it as "calcium uniporter protein, mitochondrial, transcript variant X4". Lineage: Eukaryota; Metazoa; Arthropoda; Insecta; Hemiptera; Cimicidae. The record is from RNAcentral.